This 1427-nucleotide ribosomal RNA is filed under the name uncultured organism. RNAcentral describes it as "16S ribosomal RNA". It matches the Rfam family "Bacterial small subunit ribosomal RNA". The record is from RNAcentral.
CUUAACACAUGCAAGUCGAGGGGCAGCGGGGGUAGCGAUACCCGCCGGCGACCGGCGCACGGGUGAGUAACGCGUAUGCAACUUGCCUAUCAGAGGGGGAUAACCCGGCGAAAGUCGGACUAAUACCGCAUGAAGCAGGGGCCCCGCAUGGGGAUAUUUGCUAAAGAUUCAUCGCUGAUAGAUAGGCAUGCGUUCCAUUAGGCAGUUGGCGGGGUAACGGCCCACCAAACCGACGAUGGAUAGGGGUUCUGAGAGGAAGGUCCCCCACAUUGGUACUGAGACACGGACCAAACUCCUACGGGAGGCAGCAGUGAGGAAUAUUGGUCAAUGGCCGAGAGGCUGAACCAGCCAAGUCGCGUGAGGGAUGAAGGUUCUAUGGAUCGUAAACCUCUUUUAUAAGGGAAUAAAGUGCGGGACGUGUCCCGUUUUGUAUGUACCUUAUGAAUAAGGAUCGGCUAACUCCGUGCCAGCAGCCGCGGUAAUACGGAGGAUCCGAGCGUUAUCCGGAUUUAUUGGGUUUAAAGGGUGCGUAGGCGGCCUUUUAAGUCAGCGGUGAAAGUCUGUGGCUCAACCAUAGAAUUGCCGUUGAAACUGGGGGGCUUGAGUAUGUUUGAGGCAGGCGGAAUGCGUGGUGUAGCGGUGAAAUGCAUAGAUAUCACGCAGAACCCCGAUUGCGAAGGCAGCCUGCCAAGCCAUUACUGACGCUGAUGCACGAAAGCGUGGGGAUCAAACAGGAUUAGAUACCCUGGUAGUCCACGCAGUAAACGAUGAUCACUAGCUGUUUGCGAUACACUGUAAGCGGCACAGCGAAAGCGUUAAGUGAUCCACCUGGGGAGUACGCCGGCAACGGUGAAACUCAAAGGAAUUGACGGGGGCCCGCACAAGCGGAGGAACAUGUGGUUUAAUUCGAUGAUACGCGAGGAACCUUACCCGGGUUUGAACGCAUUCGGACCGAGGUGGAAACACCUUUUCUAGCAAUAGCCGUUUGCGAGGUGCUGCAUGGUUGUCGUCAGCUCGUGCCGUGAGGUGUCGGCUUAAGUGCCAUAACGAGCGCAACCCUUGCCACUAGUUACUAACAGGUAAAGCUGAGGACUCUGGUGGGACUGCCAGCGUAAGCUGCGAGGAAGGCGGGGAUGACGUCAAAUCAGCACGGCCCUUACAUCCGGGGCGACACACGUGUUACAAUGGCGUGGACAAAGGGAAGCCACCUGGCGACAGGGAGCGAAUCCCCAAACCACGUCUCAGUUCGGAUCGGAGUCUGCAACCCGACUCCGUGAAGCUGGAUUCGCUAGUAAUCGCGCAUCAGCCAUGGCGCGGUGAAUACGUUCCCGGGCCUUGUACACACCGCCCGUCAAGCCAUGGGAGCCGGGGGUACCUGAAGUCCGUAACCGCGAGGAUCGGCCUAGGGUAAAACUGGUGACUGGGGC